RNAcentral lists this ribosomal RNA (569 nucleotides) under fungal endophyte. RNAcentral's name for it is "eukaryotic LSU rRNA". The stretch from base 176 to 329 matches the Rfam family "5.8S ribosomal RNA". The record is from RNAcentral. Lineage: Eukaryota; Fungi.
UUACUGAGUUUACGCUCUAUAACCCUUUGUGAACAUACCUAUAACUGUUGCUUCGGCGGGUAGGGUCUCCGUGACCCUCCCGGCCUCCCGCCCCCGGGCGGGUCGGCGCCCGCCGGAGGAUAACCAAACUCUGAUUUAACGACGUUUCUUCUGAGUGGUACAAGCAAAUAAUCAAAACUUUUAACAACGGAUCUCUUGGUUCUGGCAUCGAUGAAGAACGCAGCGAAAUGCGAUAAGUAAUGUGAAUUGCAGAAUUCAGUGAAUCAUCGAAUCUUUGAACGCACAUUGCGCCCGCCAGCAUUCUGGCGGGCAUGCCUGUUCGAGCGUCAUUUCAACCCUCAAGCUCUGCUUGGUGUUGGGGCCCUACAGCUGAUGUAGGCCCUCAAAGGUAGUGGCGGACCCUCCCGGAGCCUCCUUUGCGUAGUAACUUUACGUCUCGCACUGGGAUCCGGAGGGACUCUUGCCGUAAAACCCCCAAUUUUCCAAAGGUUGACCUCGGAUCAGGUAGGAAUACCCGCUGAACUUAAGCAUAUCAAUAAGCGGAGGAAAAGAAACCAACAGGGAUUGCC